AAAAAAAAAAAAAAAAAAACUGAUAUAAAAUGAUCAUAUAUCAAUAUUUUUUCAACUUUUUCUCCAUAAAUUUCUUAGACCACUUCAGCUCUGCACAAAACUACCAAAUAUUCAAUAAUUUUCAGGAUUUUAACCGUUUAAAUACCAUCAAUGAGAAGUAUGAGGA
Long non-coding RNA from Sphaeramia orbicularis (orbiculate cardinalfish), 166 nucleotides. RefSeq lists it as uncharacterized. NCBI's taxonomy places the organism in Eukaryota, Metazoa, Chordata, Actinopteri, Kurtiformes, Apogonidae. The transcript is spliced from 3 exons. The record is from RefSeq and is a predicted model, not a curated record.